This 484-nucleotide ribosomal RNA is filed under the name uncultured bacterium. RNAcentral describes it as "partial 16S ribosomal RNA". It matches the Rfam family "Bacterial small subunit ribosomal RNA", at positions 29 to 507 of the family's 1533-position model. The record is from RNAcentral.
AGUGAACGCUGGCGGCAAGCCUAACACAUGCAAGUCGAGCGGCAGCGCGGGGGCAACCCUGGCGGCGAGCGGCGGACGGGUGAGGAAUUCGUCGGAAUCUGCCUUUUUGUGGGGGAUAACGUAGGGAAACUUACGCUAAUACCGCAUACGUCCUACGGGAGAAAGUGGGGGACCGCAAGGCCUCACGCAGAAAGAUGAGCCGACGACCGAUUAGCUAGUUGGUGGGGUAAAGGCCCACCAAGGCGACGAUCGGUAGCUGGUCUGAGAGGAUGAUCAGCCACACUGGGACUGAGACACGGCCCAGACUCCUACGGGAGGCAGCAGUGGGGAAUAUUGGACAAUGGGCGCAAGCCUGAUCCAGCCAUGCCGCGUGUGUGAAGAAGGCCUUCGGGUUGUAAAGCACUUUUGUCCGGAAAGAAAUCCCUGGAGCUAAUACCUUCGGGGGAUGACGGUACCGGAAGAAUAAGCACCGGCUAACUUCGUG